Xiphias gladius (swordfish) is the source of this 2919-nucleotide long non-coding RNA. RefSeq lists it as uncharacterized. The record is from RefSeq and is a predicted model, not a curated record. The transcript has 4 exons. Lineage: Eukaryota; Metazoa; Chordata; Actinopteri; Istiophoriformes; Xiphiidae.
UUUAACAGGGAAACCGUCGAGUGGCAGACCGUGCCAUUCAUUUUCAGACUUUGGCUGAUGACAAUAAAUGAAACACUUAAUCCCUGUCCAACACAUUCCUGCACAGUCUCUCUGAUGAAAUUACAGAUCAAGUGUUAAUAGACUUACCCACAGACUUUGACUCACUGGCUUCACUAGCUAUCAAGAUAGAUAAUCGUCUCUUUGAAACAAAGGAAAAGAGGCGUUGAACCGAAAGGAGACCUCCAGUCAACUUGGGGCAGGCCUCUUCCUGGCCUCAGACCAAACGUCAUUCCAGUCCUGUGGUGGGCUCCUAUGAGCAAGGUACAGCGCCUACUGGGGGAAAGGUGGAACCAAUGCAGGUGGGCUUCACUUGACUUUCUCCUGAGGAGCGACAGCACCGCCUUAGGGAGGGAACCUGUAUCUACUAUGGUCUCCUAGGACAUUUCCUAGCAGUGUGGCCAGUAAAGGGCUGGACUCAUGAGUGAAAAGAGGUUUACUGAUGAGCCGAAUGUCCUCUUCUUCAACAAGUGUUAACCCAUGCUCGGUUUCUCCUUCGGUUUCCCUGGAGGUGGCUGUGGACUCUGGAGCUUCUGAAAGCUUCAUGCAUUAAGGCCUCACUUGCCAGCUCAAGCUGCAACUAGACCCUCUCUCAUCUGAACUUCCUCUCAUCCUUGUUUCCCUGUGGCUAACAAAAGCAUAACCCGUAUAUUUACUGGUCUACUGGCACCAUCCUGGAGGGGAGUAACUUAUGCCCCUCAUCUUGAGUCCUAUCCGCCUCUCCCACUGUUCUCCCCAAGCAUGUUGACUCCUCCUCAGAGUUCCCUGAUCUGUCUGGCACUCCCUCUGCUUACCUGAAUUUGAAGGUUUUCAACAAGGCCCGUGCUGCAUCCCUGCCACCUAAUAGACCAUACAACUGUGCCAUCAACCUCCUCCCUCGGGUUUCUCCUCCCAAAGGCCAACUCUACACCUCUUCUGCCUUUGAUUUGUUGCAAGGAGCCACCAUUUUAACUAAACUGGAUUUCCAAAAUGCAUAUUCUCUCGAUCGCAUUGGCCUUCAACAUCCCUUGUGGCCAUUAUGAAUACCUGGUGAUGCCUUUUGGAUGUACUAAUGCCCCAGCAGUCUUUGAGUCCCUAGUGAAUGACAGUCUUUGCGAAAAGCUUAACUCCUUUUUGUUUGUCUAUCUGGAUGAAAUUCAUAUUUAUUUUUCUAAGAAAUAUGAGGAGUAUGUGCAGCAUAUACAGCAGACUCUUCAGCAGCUGUUGGAGAACCUGCUGUUUGUCAAGACGGAGAAGUGUGAAUUUCACCAGCAUCAUCUUCUACUUGGGAUUCAUCGUGUCACCUGGAAAUAUCCAAAUGGGACCUGCCAUGGUUAGUGCUGUCGUUGCCUGGCUGAUACCCACUGACUGCAUGCAAUUACAGAGAUGUUUGGGGUUUCCUAAUUUCCACAGAAGCUUCAUUAGGAAUUAGAGUUUCAUAGCAGCCCCUUAACAUGCCCUCACAUCUCCUAGUUCUAAGUUUCUUUGGAACACUCAAGCUGAAGAGGCCUUCAAUACCUUGAAACACCAGUUCACCUCCUCACCCAUCCUCACCAUGCCAGACCUCAAGCUUCAGUUCAUCGUCAAGAAAGUUGUCUCCAGCAGAGAGGAACUACGAUGUAGGUAACUGGGAGUUGUUGGCUGUCAAGUUGGCACUGGAGGAAUGGAGACACUGGCUGGAGGGGGCUGGAUUGCCAUUCCUAGGGUGGACUGACCAUAAGAAUCUGGAGGGCAUGAAAACAGCCAGGAGGUUGAACUCAUGCUGAGCCAGUUAAAACCUGACGCCUCAGAACCUCCUCUUCAUCCCGGUCAAGCUCUGUCCAGGAGUGCUGCAGUGGGGUCACUCAUCCAGGCUCAGAUACCAUUCAGGGAAAGUUGUCUCCAGCAGAGAAGCAGCGGUUUUGGUGGCCUUCUUUAGUGGAAGAUGUGGGGAAAUUUGUCUCAGCCUAUCCUGUUUGUGCUCAGAAUAAGACUUCAUAAAAACAACCAUAUGGAUUGCGUCAUCCUCUCCUGGUGCCACGAUGACCCUGGUCCUACAUUCUGUAUUUUUGGACUUUGUCAUUGGUUUGCCCCCCUCUUGAGGUAAUGCUGUUAUUCUCAUAAUAGAUUGCUUUUCCAAGAUGGUACACUUUGUCCCUGUGCCCAAACUCCCUUCUGCUAAGGAGACAGCAGAGGUCAUGUUGUCUCAUGUUUUUCGUCUACAUGACCUACCCCAGGAUGUUGUCUCCAAUAGGGGUCCUCAGUUUGCUUCUUGGUUCUAGAAGAAGUAAACUGAUUGGUGCCACAGCUAGACUCUUCUCUGGGUUUCAUCUUCAGUCCAACGGCCAGACGGAGCAUUACAAACAGGAGCUGGAGACUGACCUCAAAUGUUUAGUUUCCCAGAAUUUCCCUGUGGAGUUGACAGUUGGUAUGGAUUGAACAUGCAAACAUUUCUCUUCCUGUUAACACCAUGGAUCUGUCUCCCUUUCAAUGUGUCUAUGGCUACCAACCACCAUCGUUUCUGGAGCAAGACAGGGAGGUUGCUGUACCAUCCUCUUGGGCCCUGGGACCUCACUUUGAGAAGGGCCCAGACAGCUCUUCUCCGAGCUUCCAAACACUACAAGAGCGAGAUCAACAAGCGCUACACUCCAGCAUUAUCAUGUGGGACAGAGGGUUUGGCUCUCCACACAGGCCCUGCCUCUCCGUUUGGAAAGUUAUGAGCUGGCGCCCAGGUUUGUUGAUCCUUUCCCCAUCUCAAAAAUCAUUAAUCCUGUGGCUGUUCAGUUACGUCUCCCCAGGACCAAGAGAGUCCACUUGACCUUCCACGUCUCCGAAACAAACCUUGCAUCUUUGUUCCCUCGCGUGUUCACUGUUUUCUAGUGUUUUUUUUCUUUUUCUUUUUUU